This 427-nucleotide ribosomal RNA is filed under the name uncultured bacterium. Its description in RNAcentral is "partial 16S ribosomal RNA". It matches the Rfam family "Bacterial small subunit ribosomal RNA", at positions 355 to 774 of the family's 1533-position model. The record is from RNAcentral.
UGGGGAAUAUUGCACAAUGGGCGCAAGCCUGAUGCAGCCAUGCCGCGUGUAUGAAGAAGGCCUUCGGGUUGUAAAGUACUUUCAGCGGGGAGGAAGGUGUUGAGGUUAAUAACCUCAGCAAUUGACGUUACCCGCAGAAGAAGCACCGGCUAACUCCGUGCCAGCAGCCGCGGUAAUACGGAGGGUGCAAGCGUUAAUCGGAAUUACUGGGCGUAAAGCGCACGCAGGCGGUCUAUCAAGUCGGAUGUGAAAUCCCCGGGCUCAACCUGGGAACUGCAUUCGAAACUGGCAGGCUAGAGUCUUGUAGAGGGGGGUAGAAUUCCAGGUGUAGCGGUGAAAUGCGUAGAGAUCUGGAGGAAUACCGGUGGCGAAGGCGGCCCCCUGGACAAAGACUGACGCUCAGGUGCGAAAGCGUGGGGAGCAAACA